GACGAACGCUGGCGGCGUGCUUAACACAUGCAAGUCGAACGGAAAGGCCCUGCUUUUGUGGGGUGCUCGUGUGGCGAACGGGGGAGUAACACGUGAGUAACCUGCCCUUGACUUUGGGAUAACUUCAGGGAACUGCGGCUCAUACCCGAGAGAAUCUCCUGCUGCAUGGGGGGGGAUGGAAAGAUACGGCGGUGGGGGCUGGAUUCGCGGCUUAUCAGCUUCUUGGUCGGGUAGUGGCUUACGAAGGCUUUGACGGGUAGCCUGCCUGGGAGGGUGACCGGCCACAUGGGGACUGAGAGACGGCCCAGAAUCCUACGGGAGGCAGCAGUCGGGAAUAUUGCACAAUGGGCGGAAGCCUGAUGCAGCAAUGCCGCGUGCGGGAUGACGUCCUUCGGGUUGUAAACCGCUGUCGCCGGUGACGAAGCGUGAGUGACGGUAAUGGGUAAAGAAGCAACGGCUAACUACGUG
This 468-nucleotide ribosomal RNA is filed under the name uncultured bacterium. Its description in RNAcentral is "partial 16S ribosomal RNA". It matches the Rfam family "Bacterial small subunit ribosomal RNA", at positions 28 to 507 of the family's 1533-position model. The record is from RNAcentral.